Molecule: ribosomal RNA, 492 nt
Filed under: uncultured bacterium
Lineage: Bacteria
Description: partial 16S ribosomal RNA
Rfam family: Bacterial small subunit ribosomal RNA
Source: RNAcentral
GAUGAACGCUGGCGGCGUGCCUAAUACAUGCAAGUCGAACGGAAGGACGAUAAGAGUUCGCUUUUAAGGGUGGCGGCGGACGGGUGAGUGACGCGUAGAUAGCAUACUUCUUUUUCGGGGAGGAUAACGGAGAAAAAGAGACAAUACCACAUAAUAUGUUCUACCGGAGGGAGCAGGGGUGAAUGGGGCCUUGCCUGACUGAAAGAGCCGAUGUCGGAUUAGCUAGUUGGGGGGGUAAGGGCACACCAAGGCGACGCAACGUAGCUGAUCUGAGAGGAUGAUCGGCCACACUGGAACUGGGACACGGUCCAGACUCCUACGGGAGGCAGCAGUGGGGAAUAUUAGGCAAUGGGCGCAAGCCUGACGCAGCCAUACCGCGUGGGUGAAGAAGGCCUUCGGGUUGUAAAGCCCUUUUGUUGGGAAAGAAAAGCUGCAGAUUAAUACGCCGCCGUUCUGACGGUACCCAAUGAAUAAGCACCGGCUAACUUCGUG